Solea solea (common sole) is the source of this 2941-nucleotide long non-coding RNA. RefSeq lists it as uncharacterized. The transcript is spliced from 3 exons. NCBI's taxonomy places the organism in Eukaryota, Metazoa, Chordata, Actinopteri, Pleuronectiformes, Soleidae. The record is from RefSeq and is a predicted model, not a curated record.
CCAGCCUGUUUGUUUGUGUGUUCCGCAUUCACGAGCCACCACGUCCAGAGCAGAAACGAAGGGAAAACGGACACAAAAUGCGCUACAGUGAAAAAGCUGCAAACAUGACUUCUACACCAAAAUCCGAAGUAAAAACUCACCAGACAUGAUGGAAAAGAUGUAGAGAGGCUCUCUGGAGAAGACCUGUGGGACUCCACAACGUCCUUUUCUGUCUCAGCAAUAUGGCCAAGAACGAAAUUUGUGCAAAAGUCUUCAAAAAUCUCAACACAAAUGUCUUACAGUAGAGUCAGAGCAUACAACAAUAUUGUAAUAUAGCUGUGGACAUAUUAGUUUGAGAUUUUCUCCCUCCAUGCCUACUAUUUAAAACCCCUAGAACUCAAUGAUUUGACAAUGAUUUGAUUGCGCGUUACUUUCAAUUUGAAUAUUCAGAGGCAACCGAAUUUUAUCGAUUUUUCGGCAAAAAUCACUACGCAUGGACAUUGUAUAAGCACUACUUUAAUAUAAUAUACUACAAUUUCACACUUUGACCGAAAAGAAAGCAUACUUUUAUUAAUUUUAUCCUCCUUUUGCAAUAUCAGAGCAUCACACCCCCUCAUUAGGCACUACAUCACUGGGUGCAUUUGCGCACCUCCAACACCGCAAUCCAACUUAUAUUCGCGAUCACAAGUUUGCAGGGAUCACGCUGCAUGCUGAGAAUAUUCUCAAACUUAUUUUUAUAGUUUAUUUCAGAGAAAAAUGCAUUAAAGUGGGGAAAAAGUGGGCGUGGCAAAGGCCAGUAGCCAUCUUUGGCACUACAGGCCCCAGAAGCUCCACUGCAGCAAGUGCUCUGUGCGCGCUCACCUGCUGGGGGCUGCAGAGUGGGUCUGUGGCUGCGGCAUGUCCAUCUAUCUCUUUAAAACACUUUUUAUCAGUGUGCAGAAAAAACAAGUUCAAUUAUAUCAACACCAAUAAUGACUUUUCCACACUUUGUCAGCAUUGUGUGUUGAUUUGAUGUUAACAAAGCGCGCCUCGGCACUGCGGCACCAGAUCACUGCCAUCAAACUGUAAACUACACUUUCAUUAAAACCACAAUUUAUUUACAUUGUUAUUAAUUUAUGAACACUUAUAAUAAUUGUUUCAUACGCGGCAGACCACAAAUACGACAUAUAAACAUCGGCAUUUAUUAAAUAUGCCAACAAAGAUUGUCUAACUUACUUUUACAUUUAAAGUAGCACUUGAUAAGUGACCAAAUGUUCAGAAACUAUAUUUAUAAUUAUAUAUACUUAUAGUUAAAUCAUAUUCAAGUCCCAGAAGCUGUUUCAAAACAGACUUUCUCCUCCCUUUGCCUGCAGCUCUCGGCUCCUCCGCUCCCCCUGCAGCGGCGGUGCAGCGGCGCCACCUAGUGUUCAAAAACCGCAACAUCCUUUCCCCUCAGCGAACACAAACCCACGGGUAAAUACAAUAUCAACUGCUGACUUCAACGAACAUGAAAUCCCUUGCACUUGCAAUUAGAAAAUGUGUAUUUUAUAGAUUUGCACUCCAAAAAAACUGGUUUUUAACAUUUAUAGUUUUUUUUAAAAAACAAAACAAUUUAACUCCCCCCCAAGGAUUGUAUUUAAACCUGCAUUUAUUCAGUUUUAUAUACAUUCAAAUCUCGUUUACACAUUUGGACACACUGCAAGUAUGCACUUCAAGUUGUUUUAUUGUACAUUAACUGUUCUUAAAUGUUUUUGAGGCUGCUGUUUGAGCCUUUGAAUUCCUUUUUUUUUUUUUUACUGAAUUUAAUUGGAAAGGGCUUAAAAUAACACGAGGUGUAAUGUGCUCUUGACUUGAUUCCCAAUAGUUUGUCAUCUUUUAAAAGUGGGUCUCUAUAUUAAAGGUAUGGGAAACACUGAGAUGGUUCGUUCUAUAGUUUGACCCAAAACUCAAAAUACGUUAUUCACAUAAAUGAUACCUUCUUUCCUUGAAGGCAAUCCUGAAUACAAUUGGGAAGUUUUUCUUCUGAACUCAAAACAUACAAUGUCUAAAAAACAAAGGGGCUGUAGGACAAUUAGGGUUUAAUAAGGUCAGUUUCUUGAUUGGAAAAAAAUAUAUAUUUAUGAACAGAAUAUUAACAGUAAACAGUAGUAUUCACAGUGAAAUUACACAUCAGUUUUUUAUAUUUGUGAAGCCGUAACAAAUGAAUGAAUGUUUGAUAAAAUGACAAAAGUGAAUAAUAUGUAACUUCACAUUAUUAUUUGUAUUAAAAAUGUACGUGAUUGAUUUGUACACAUGUCUAAUAAAUGUAUUGGAACAGAUACAUUAUUUGGUUAACGUUUUGUGUCAUUUCAUGCAGUUUUUUAUAAAACCAAUCUUUCAUUGAAAGUCUUUCUUAUUAUCUGUUGUGUAUUCUCAGGAUAUUAAAAGUCAUGUAAAAGUAUGUCCAGAGAUUAUUGGAGCAAACACAGCCAAGAAAACAAAAGCAAUUCAAUUAUUAUUACUAUUAUUAUUAUUAUAAAAAUAAUAACACAACAUGAUUCCAGUAUUGCCCUGUGGGUGGCGCUGUAAUGCGCCCCAGAGAAGAACAAACCAUUACUCCAUUAAGUAUAAUAUUCCUUCUGUCACCCAGCUUCUAAACACAGAUAGUAUGUCAUUGUUUUUAAAUGAAACAAUUUUUUUUUUUAAAAUGAAAAUGAAAAAAAACAACGUUAUAUUUAUCACUGCUUACAAUUUUAUGAAUUUAAAAAAAGCAUCUGAAUUUAAAAUGAUUCAGUUUCAAAGUGAAAUUCACCAGAAAUGUGAUUCAUCAAACACACAGUCAGCCACCGUCACUUGAGAAGACUUCCAGUGGCUCAUGACACUUUAUUAUCUUUAAAAAGUCGGUCCUCGUGUGAAGGUUUGAGAGACACUGAUUUAAAGCACGUUUACAUUGUUUAUUACAUUUACAACAUACAAGUACAAAAACAGAACAUUUAAGUGACGG